CGGGCAGGGAAGCCACGCGCCGCCGCCAUCCCGGCUGGAGGGGUGCCCGCCCGCCGUGUGCCCCUCGGGGGUCGCUCAGGGCUGGCUUAAAGUACAGGAGAGUGUGUGAUCGCAGUUAAUAUCUUAAGGAUAAAGAUUACCAGAGGGUCAGAGAGAGAGAGAGCUUGUGAGGCUGCCCUGUGCCCUGGAUGAGAUCCUGUCCUUGGGCUCUGCUCUGCUCUGCUCUGUGGGAGGCUCCUGCCUGACCUUGGAGCAGGAGCCAUUUCCCAUCACAUCCCAGCCAACCUCUGGAAACACCUGGGGUGCAGAAGUGGACGUGAGCGUUUGCCUGGUGCUGCUGAGGUUCUGAGAGAGAAAGGACACUCAAAGCAUCACUUACUGAUUGAUCCCCACCUGAGAGAAGGCUCA
Molecule: long non-coding RNA, 408 nt
Filed under: Zonotrichia albicollis (white-throated sparrow)
Lineage: Eukaryota; Metazoa; Chordata; Aves; Passeriformes; Passerellidae
Description: lncRNA (ENSZALG00000017034.1)
Source: RNAcentral